UUUUUUUUUUUUUUUCAGGACGAACGCUGGCGGCGUGCUUAAUACAUGCAAGUCGAGCGGACAGAAGGGAGCUUGCUCCCGGAUGUUAGCGGCGGACGGGUGAGUAACACGUGGGUAACCUGCCUGUAAGACUGGGAUAACUCCGGGAAACCGGAGCUAAUACCGGAUAGUUCCUUGAACCGCAUGGUUCAAGGAUGAAAGACGGUUUCGGCUGUCACUUACAGAUGGACCCGCGGCGCAUUAGCUAGUUGGUGGGGUAAUGGCUCACCAAGGCGACGAUGCGUAGCCGACCUGAGAGGGUGAUCGGCCACACUGGGACUGAGACACGGCCCAGACUCCUACGGGAGGCAGCAGUAGGGAAUCUUCCGCAAUGGACGAAAGUCUGACGGAGCAACGCCGCGUGAGUGAUGAAGGUUUUCGGAUCGUAAAGCUCUGUUGUUAGGGAAGAACAAGUGCGAGAGUAACUGCUCGCACCUUGACGGUACCUAACCAGAAAGCCACGGCUAACUACGUGCCAGCAGCCGCGGUAAUACGUAGGUGGCAAGCGUUGUCCGGAAUUAUUGGGCGUAAAGGGCUCGCAGGCGGUUUCUUAAGUCUGAUGUGAAAGCCCCCGGCUCAACCGGGGAGGGUCAUUGGAAACUGGGAAACUUGAGUGCAGAAGAGGAGAGUGGAAUUCCACGUGUAGCGGUGAAAUGCGUAGAGAUGUGGAGGAACACCAGUGGCGAAGGCGACUCUCUGGUCUGUAACUGACGCUGAGGAGCGAAAGCGUGGGGAGCGAACAGG
This 783-nucleotide ribosomal RNA is filed under the name Bacillus pumilus. RNAcentral's name for it is "bacterial SSU rRNA". It matches the Rfam family "Bacterial small subunit ribosomal RNA", at positions 1 to 776 of the family's 1533-position model. Lineage: Bacteria; Bacillati; Bacillota; Bacilli; Caryophanales; Bacillaceae. The record is from RNAcentral.